Molecule: non-coding RNA, 70 nt
Organism: Patagioenas fasciata monilis
Lineage: Eukaryota; Metazoa; Chordata; Aves; Columbiformes; Columbidae
Source: Rfam
ACUCUAAUAGUUUAUAAAAACAUCGGUCUUGUAAACCGAAGAAUGAAGGCCAUCCCUCUUCUUAAGAGUU